UACGGAGGGGGCUAGCGUUGUUCGGAAUUACUGGGCGUAAAGCGCGCGUAGGCGGACCUGCAAGUCGGGGGUGAAAGCCCGAGGCUCAACCUCGGAACUGCCUUCGAUACUGCGGGUCUCGAGUCCGGGAGAGGUGAGUGGAAUUCCUAGUGUAGAGGUGAAAUUCGUAGAUAUUAGGAAGAACACCAAGUGGCGAAGGCGGCUCACUGGCCCCGGUACUGACGCUGAGGCGCGAAAGCGUGGGGAGCAAACAGG
Molecule: ribosomal RNA, 255 nt
Filed under: uncultured bacterium
Lineage: Bacteria
Description: partial 16S ribosomal RNA
Rfam family: Bacterial small subunit ribosomal RNA
Source: RNAcentral